RNAcentral lists this transfer RNA (65 nucleotides) under Callitettix braconoides. Its description in RNAcentral is "tRNA-Ala". Lineage: Eukaryota; Metazoa; Arthropoda; Insecta; Hemiptera; Cercopidae. The record is from RNAcentral.
AGGAUUAUAUUUAAUUAUAAUUACUGAUCUGCAAUCAGUAGGUGCUGUCAAUCUAGCUAAUCUUA